Molecule: ribosomal RNA, 491 nt
Filed under: uncultured bacterium
Lineage: Bacteria
Description: SSU rRNA
Rfam family: Bacterial small subunit ribosomal RNA
Source: RNAcentral
AGGUUGAACGCUGGCGGCAUGCCUUACACAUGCAAGUCGAACGGCAGCACGGGGGCAACCCUGGUGGCGAGUGGCGAACGGGUGAGUAAUACAUCGGAACGUGUCCUGUAGUGGGGGAUAGCCCGGCGAAAGCCGGAUUAAUACCGCAUACGAUCUACGGAAGAAAGCGGGGGAUCGCAAGACCUCGCGCUAUAGGGGCGGCCGAUGGCAGAUUAGCUAGUUGGUGGGGUAAAGGCCUACCAAGGCGACGAUCUGUAGCUGGUCUGAGAGGACGACCAGCCACACUGGGACUGAGACACGGCCCAGACUCCUACGGGAGGCAGCAGUGGGGAAUUUUGGACAAUGGGGGAAACCCUGAUCCAGCAAUGCCGCGUGUGUGAAGAAGGCCUCGGUUGUAAGCACUUUGUCCGGAAGAAACCUUUGCACUAAUACUGUGAGGGAGUGACGGUACCGGAAGAAUAAGCACCGGCUAACUACGUGCCAGCAGCCGC